AUUGAACGCUGGCGGCAGGCCUAACACAUGCAAGUCGAGCGGAUGAAGGGAGCUUGCUCCUGGAUUCAGCGGCGGACGGGUGAGUAAUGCCUAGGAAUCUGCCUGGUAGUGGGGGAUAACGUCCGGAAACGGGCGCUAAUACCGCAUACGUCCUGCGGGAGAAAGUGGGGGAUCUUCGGACCUCCCGCUAUCAGAUGAGCCUAGGUCGGCUUAGCUAGUUGGUGGGGUAAAGGCCUACCAAGGCGACGAUCCGUAACUGGUCUGAGAGGAUGAUCAGUCACACUGGAACUGAGACACGGUCCAGACUCCUACGGGAGGCAGCAGUGGGGAAUAUUGGACAAUGGGCGAAAGCCUGAUCCAGCCAUGCCGCGUGUGUGAAGAAGGUCUUCGGAUUGUAAAGCACUUUAAGUUGGGAGGAAGGGCAGUAAGUUAAUACCUUGCUGUUUUGACGUUACCAACAGAAUAAGCACCGGCUAACUUCGUG
This 484-nucleotide ribosomal RNA is filed under the name uncultured bacterium. RNAcentral describes it as "partial 16S ribosomal RNA". It matches the Rfam family "Bacterial small subunit ribosomal RNA", at positions 30 to 507 of the family's 1533-position model. The record is from RNAcentral.